Molecule: ribosomal RNA, 2847 nt
Filed under: Triticum aestivum (bread wheat)
Lineage: Eukaryota; Viridiplantae; Streptophyta; Magnoliopsida; Poales; Poaceae
Description: partial small subunit ribosomal RNA
Source: RNAcentral
AUGCGACCUUUACUGUACCUCUGCCUACUGCUGCUGUCGUGCCUUCUUCUCUUGCAAGAAGCGCAUGCAGCGCGCCAUGGAGGGAUCUCACUGAGGUCUCAACGCAUGGCCCUCCUCCACUGGAAAGCUACACUUGCAAACCCACCGCUGCGCAUGAGCUCUUGGCAAGAAAACACCAGCCCAUGUAACUGGACGGGCAUCAUGUGCACGGCUGUUCGCCAUGGCCGUCGUAUGCCCUGGGUGGUGACCAAUAUCUCCCUGCCAGACGCUGGCAUCCGCGGACAGCUUGGUGAGCUCAACUUCUCGGCUCUUCCAUUCCUCGCAUAUAUCAACCUUCAAAACAACAGUCUCCAUGGUGCACUACCCACUAGUAUCACCUCCCUGUCAGCACUUUCAGCACUUGACCUUAGCUUCAACCAGCUCAAAGGGAAAAUUCCUAGUGAGAUUGGUGGCCUGCAAAGUCUCAGGGUGCUUGAGCUCUCAUCUAAUAGACUCACAGGACAUAUUCCUGCAUCUCUGGGCAACCUCACAAUGUUAAAUAUUCUUGCCAUUCACCAAACCAUGGUAUCAGGUCCCAUUCCUGAGGAGAUUGGAAGGCUUGUCAACCUACAAGGUCUGCAGCUAAGCAACAGCAGCUUAAGCGGCAUGAUACCAAAAACCCUUGGAAAUCUGACCCAACUAAAUGAUUUGUACCUGUUUGGUAAUCAACUUUCAGGGCCUAUACCCCAAGAACUAGGCAGGCUAGUCCAUUUGCAUGGUCUUGCGCUUAAUUCAAAUGAUUUGUCAGGUCCAAUUCCAAUCUCCAUAACCAAUCUCACUAAGAUGAACCAACUUUUUCUCUUUGAAAAUCAAAUCACAGGUCCAAUACCCCCAGAAAUAGGAAAUCUUAAGAUGCUAAACCAACUUAUGCUCUACCAAAAUCAAAUCAUAGGCUCAAUACCCCCUGAACUAGGCAACAUCACUAUGCUCAAUGUAAUUUCUCUCGAUACAAAUAAAAUCACAGGCCCAAUACCUUCAGAAUUGGGCUACUUACUGAAUCUCCAGAAUUUAGAGUUGUUCGACAACCAAAUAUCUGGCACUAUUCCUGGGAGCCUAGGAAAUAUUACCAAGCUGGUAGCACUAUCCCUCUAUGGAAAUCAGAUAACCGGCUCCAUCCCUGAAGAGAUUGGCAAUCUGAUGAACCUCGCAUAUUUAUACUUGAAUGAGAACCAAAUAUCAGGAUCAAUACCUAAAACUUUUGGGAAGUUGCACAACAUCCAAGAAAUGCGAAUCUUCAAUAACAAUUUAUCAGGUGAUCUUCCUCAAGAAUUUGGAUAUCUCAUAAACAUUGUUGUGCUUGAGCUAGCUAACAACUCACUUUCAGGACCUUUACCCGCAAAUAUAUGUUCAGGUGCCGGACUUCAAACUCUCAAUGUCGCAUAUAAUAUGUUCAAUGGCCCCAUUCCAAGUAGUUUAAAGACAUGUUCAAGUUUAGUUGAAAUUGACCUUGAGUCAAACCAACUGACAGGAGAUAUAUCUCAGCAUUUUGGUGUUUAUCCACAACUCACAGUGAUGAAUUUGGCAUCGAAUAGACUCUCUGGGCUGAUAUCAUCCAAUCUAGGUGCAUCUACUCAAUUAGUGGCACUACAUCUAGCACAAAAUAUGAUCACGGGUCCCAUACCUACAAUCCUUUCUAAAUUGUCCAACCUAGAAAAACUAAGACUUGACUCUAAUCAUCUCAGUGGUGAGAUUCCACCAGAAAUCUGCAGUUUAACUCAUCUAUAUAUACUAAACUUAUCAUUCAACCAAUUAUCCGGGCCCAUACCUACACAGAUAGAAAAGCUGAGCAGUCUAGGAUACCUUGAUAUAUCUGGGAACAUGUUAAGUGGAUCAAUACCUGAGGAACUAGGGGCCUGCAUAAGAAUACAGUCCUUGAAGAUCAACAACAACAACUUCAAUGGGAGUUUGCCCAGUGAGAUUGGAAAUUUAGCAGGCCUGCAGAUCAAGUUAGAUGUGAGCAAAAAUAACCUCAGUGGUGUGUUACCGCAGCAACUUGGGAAGUUGCUGAUGCUACAACUUCUGAAUUUAUCACAUAAUCAGUUCAGUGGCAGCAUUCCAUCCUCCUUUGCAAGCAUGGUGAGCCUUUCAAUGCUUGAUGUGUCCUACAACGACUUGGAUGGACCGGUCCCUUCAGCACGGCUACUCCAAAAUGCUUCAGCGAGUUGGUUUCUUCCCAAUAAAGGUCUGUGUGGUAACUUCUCUGGUCUGCCACCUUGUUAUUCAACCCCAGUAGCUGCUCACAAAAAGGGGAAGAUACUUGGUUUGCUUUUGCCAAUUGUUCUUGUGAUGGGUUUCGUCAUUGUUGCUGCAAUUGUUGUCAUAAUAAUACUUACUCGUAAGAAGAGAAAUCCACAAGAAAGUGUUACCUCUGAAGCAAGGGACCUAUUCUCUGUUUGGAAUUUUGACGGAAGACUAGUAUUUGACGAUAUUGUAAGGGUAACAGAAGACUUUGAUGAUAAGUACAACAUUGGAACCGGAGGAUACGGCAAAGUCUACAAGGCACAACUCCAAGAUGGGCAGUUGGUUGCUGUGAAGAAGCUUCAUCAGACCGAAGAAGAGUUGGAUGAUGAAAGAAGAUUUCGUAGUGAAAUGGAAAUCUUAACACAGAUCCGACAACGAAGCAUUGUCAGAAUGUAUGGAUUCUGCUCCCAUCCAGUGUAUAAAUUUCUCGUCUAUGACUACAUUCAACAGGGAAGCCUCCACAGAAUAUUGGAAAAUCAAGAGCUAGCAAAGGAAUUAGAUUGGAACAAGAGAAUUGCUCUUGCAACAGAUGUGGCUCAAGCAAUAUCUUAUUUGCACCACGAAUGA